This 434-nucleotide ribosomal RNA is filed under the name uncultured bacterium. RNAcentral describes it as "partial 16S ribosomal RNA". It matches the Rfam family "Bacterial small subunit ribosomal RNA", at positions 341 to 792 of the family's 1533-position model. The record is from RNAcentral.
ACGGAAGGCAGCAGUGGGGGAUAUUGCACAAUGGGGGAAACCCUGAUGCAGCGACGCCGCGUGAGUGAAGAAGUAUUUCGGUAUGUAAAGCUCUAUCAGCAGGGAAGAAAAUGACGGUACCUGACUAAGAAGCUCCGGCUAAAUACGUGCCAGCAGCCGCGGUAAUACGUAUGGAGCAAGCGUUAUCCGGAUUUACUGGGUGUAAAGGGAGCGUAGACGGCGUGGCAAGUCUGAUGUGAAAGCUAUGGGCUCAACCCAUAAACUGCAUUGGAAACUGUCAUGCUAGAGUGUCGGAGAGGUAAGCGGAAUUCCUAGUGUAGCGGUGAAAUGCGUAGAUAUUAGGAGGAACAUCAGUGGCGAAGGCGGCUUACUGGGCUUUAACUGACGCUGAGGCUCGAAAGCGUGGGGAGCAAACAGGAUUAGAUACCCUGGUA